AGUGAACGCUGGCGGUAGGCCUAACACAUGCAAGUCGAACGGCAGCACAGUAAGAGCUUGCUCUUACGGGUGGCGAGUGGCGGACGGGUGAGGAAUACAUCGGAAUCUACUUUUUCGUGGGGGAUAACGUAGGGAAACUUACGCUAAUACCGCAUACGACCUACGGGUGAAAGCAGGGGAUCUUCGGACCUUGCGCGAUUGAAUGAGCCGAUGUCGGAUUAGCUAGUUGGCGGGGUAAAGGCCCACCAAGGCGACGAUCCGUAGCUGGUCCGAGAGGAUGAUCAGCCACACUGGAACUGAGACACGGUCCAGACUCCUACGGGAGGCAGCAGUGGGGAAUAUUGGACAAAGGGCGCAAGCCUGAUCCAGCCAUACCGCGUGGGUGAAGAAGGCCUUCGGGUUGUAAAGCCCUUUUGUUGGGAAAGAAAAGCAGCAGGUUAAUACCCCGCUGUUCUGACGGUACCCAAAGAAUAAGCACCGGCUAACUUCGUG
Molecule: ribosomal RNA, 492 nt
Filed under: uncultured bacterium
Lineage: Bacteria
Description: partial 16S ribosomal RNA
Rfam family: Bacterial small subunit ribosomal RNA
Source: RNAcentral